AUACAAGCAUGAAGGUCAAGGGAAAACCAAAGGUGUUCAUUUUUAAAGACCUAUUUUCUUUGUGCUCUUUUCCAGCUCUGCCCCACACACCCAGGACUCCAGGAAGGUAGCCACAUUCUCAGCUACAAAUUAUGUGUUCCGUACCUAGUAAGGAAAGGAAGAAAGCUCAGCAGAUUUUGUUGGUGAUGUGGAAACAGUUGCACCAUGUGGAGCUGUACCUGGAGCUGGGAGACUGGGCAGUGAACAAGACAGCCACAUUCCCUACCUUCAUAGAGCCUGCAGUCCAUUGAGGAAAAAAUGGCA
Long non-coding RNA from Herpailurus yagouaroundi (jaguarundi), 303 nucleotides. RefSeq lists it as uncharacterized. Lineage: Eukaryota; Metazoa; Chordata; Mammalia; Carnivora; Felidae. The transcript is spliced from 3 exons. The record is from RefSeq and is a predicted model, not a curated record.